RNAcentral lists this ribosomal RNA (200 nucleotides) under uncultured organism. RNAcentral describes it as "partial small subunit ribosomal RNA". It matches the Rfam family "Bacterial small subunit ribosomal RNA", at positions 1184 to 1382 of the family's 1533-position model. The record is from RNAcentral.
GUCAAGUCAGCAUGGCCCUUACAUCCUGGGCGAGAAACACGCUACAAUGGCCGGGACAGAGGGUUGCCAAGCGGUAACGCGGAGCUAAUCCCCCAAACCCGGUCUCAGUUCGGAUCGUGGGCUGCAACUCGCCCACGUGAAGGUGGAGUCGCUAGUAACCGCAGGUCAGCAGUACUGCGGUGAAUAUGUUCCCGGGCCUU